Molecule: ribosomal RNA, 253 nt
Filed under: uncultured bacterium
Lineage: Bacteria
Description: partial 16S ribosomal RNA
Rfam family: Bacterial small subunit ribosomal RNA
Source: RNAcentral
GACAGAGGCCUCGAGCGUUAGGCGGAAUCACUGGGCUUAAAGCGUGUGUAGGCGGGCCCGUAAGUGUCUUGUGAAAUCCCACGGCUCAACCGUGGAACUGCUGGGCAUACUGCGGGUCUUGGGCCAACUAGGGGCAGCCGGAACAAGCGGUGGAGCGGUGAAAUGCGUAGAUAUCGCUUGGAACGCCGAAGGUGAAAACAGGCUGCUGGGAUUGCGCCGACGCUGAGACACGAAAGCCAGGGGAGCAAACGGG